CAAGGAAUUUUCCGCAAUGGGCGCAAGCCUGACGGAGCAACGCCGCGUGCAGGACGACGGCCUUAGGGUUGUAAAGCCCUUUCAGUCGUGACGAUGAUGACGGUAGCGACAGAAGAAGCCCCGGCUAACUCCGUGCCAGCAGCCGCGGUAAUACGGAGGGGGCAAGCGUUGUUCGGAUUUACUGGGCGUAAAGGGCGCGUAGGCGGACGGUCAAGUCAGAGGUGAGAGGCCCGGGCUCAACCUGGGACGUGCCUUUGAAACUGAUUGUCUUGAGUGCGGAAGAGGGUGACGGAAUUCCCAGUGUAGAGGUGAAAUUCGUAGAUAUUGGGAAGAACACCGGUGGCGAAGGCGGUCACCUGGCCCGCAACUGACGCUGAGGCGCGAAAGCGUGGGGAGCAAACAGGAUUAGAUACCCCCGUAGUCC
This 424-nucleotide ribosomal RNA is filed under the name uncultured prokaryote. Its description in RNAcentral is "bacterial SSU rRNA". It matches the Rfam family "Bacterial small subunit ribosomal RNA", at positions 355 to 796 of the family's 1533-position model. The record is from RNAcentral.